Molecule: ribosomal RNA, 809 nt
Filed under: uncultured bacterium
Lineage: Bacteria
Description: bacterial SSU rRNA
Rfam family: Bacterial small subunit ribosomal RNA
Source: RNAcentral
AGAGUUUGAUCAUGGCUCAGGACGAACGCUGGCGGCGUGCUUAACACAUGCAAGUGGAGCGACGAACCAGGGCUUGCCCUGGGGCAGAGCCGCGAACGGGUGAGUAACACGUGGGUUACCUGCCUCGAUGACUGGGACAACCCGAGGAAACUCGGGCUAAUACCGGAUGUGCCCGCAAGGGGAAAGGAAGCUUCGGCCUCCGCAUCGAGAUGGGCCCGCGGCCCAUUAGCUUGUUGGUGUGGUAACGGCUCACCAAGGCGACGAUGGGUAGCUGGUCUGAGAGGACGAUCAGCCACACUGGGACUGAGACACGGCCCAGACUCCUACGGGAGGCAGCAGUGGGGAAUCUUGCGCAAUGCGCGAAAGCGUGACGCAGCAACGCCGCGUGGGGGAAGACGGCCUUCGGGUUGUAAACCCCUUUCAGGAGGGACGAAGGUUCACCGGUGAAUAGCCGUGUGGAUUGACGGUACCUCCACAAGAAGCUCCGGCUAACUACGUGCCAGCAGCCGCGGUAAUACGUAGGGAGCAAGCGUUGUCCGGAAUCAUUGGGCGUAAAGCGCGCGUAGGUGGCUUCGUAAGUCCGUUGUGAAAGUCAAAGGCUCAACCUUUGAAUGCCGAUGGAUACUGCGGAGCUAGAGUACGGAAGAGGCGAGUGGAAUUCCUGGUGUAGCGGUGGAAUGCGCAGAUAUCAGGAGGAACACCAAUAGCGAAGGCAGCUCGCUGGGACGUUACUGACACUAAGGCGCGAAAGCGUGGGGAGCGAACAGGAUUAGAUACCCUGGUAGUCCACGCCGUAAACGAUGGGUACU